This 1372-nucleotide long non-coding RNA is filed under the name Androctonus crassicauda. The record is from RNAcentral. Lineage: Eukaryota; Metazoa; Arthropoda; Arachnida; Scorpiones; Buthidae.
UGACAAUUAUAUUUGAGAAAACUGUUCAAUAAGAACAGUUUUUUCAAAUAUAAAUAGUAUAGACUGUUUAUAUUUUUGUUUCUCAAAUAUAAACAUAUGUUUUUUUGUUUCUCAAAUAUAAACAGUAUAGACUGCCAAAUUUGAAGUUUCAAAUCCAAUUAAUAAUAGAACUAGAACCGUUUAAAAAUUACAAAAUCGACAAAAAAAAAAACGUUAUUUUUCAUUGUCAUCUCGUCCUCUUCCUCCGUAGACACUUCUACAAAUCGCAUCAUUCAACCGAUAUUGAUGAAGUUUGGAAUAUAGAUAUAUCUUAGAUUACUUGAGGUCCUCUGAAAAUUUCAGUAUAAUGGGUCAAAAAAAGGAGGAAAUAGGGGUCCGUUUUCCAUAAAUACCUCUACACAUCACAUUGUUUACCGAUUUUCAUCAAAUUUGGAAUAUAAGAUAUCCUAGCUCAGUUAAAAUCUUCAAAAAAUUUUAGCUCAGUUGGGUUAAAUUCCCUUCUCUAGAAACGCUUCUAUAGACACAUCGUUCAAUCAAUUUCGACCAAAUCUGGAAUAUAAAUCUCAUUUAUGUAAUCUAAGAUUUUCUGAAAAUUUCAGCCCACUAGAUCCAAAAUAAAGGGAUAGAGAAUCUUUCAUUAUGAACUUUUUUAUAGGUUGUAUCGUUCAGCCGAUUUCGACGAAAUUUGCUAUAUAUAAAUACCACAGUACAGUAUUAAAAAAUUAGAUGCGAUAGCUCAUGUUGUGCUAAAAAAAAUACUACAUAGGGCGGCCUACAAACAGUUUAGAUGCGGGUAUUAGGCUAACAUUUGCUUUACUCUCUUAAAUCGUCAAUCAAGUAACCGUAUCUAAAUUUUAAUAAAUGUCUUAAUUUUUUAAUAUUGUAUUUAUGCUCAUUUUUUAUAUAUUAGAUGUUUUUGAUUAUAUACGAAGUUACAGAAAAGCGAGUGUUCAAUCACAUUUUUUAUGUUGUUUGGACUGCUCAAAUCAAUUGAGAUUACUUUUCCCUAUUGUUGCAUUUCGUCCAUCAAUGGAGGAUGAUACUAUUACUUUUCAUUUUAAUUAUGCGGUUUGGUUUGUGAAAGCCGACGCCUCCACGAAUACUGUUUUAGAAUAUCAGAUCUUUUCAUGCCUUCAAAUUAAACAUCCGACUACACCAUAAGUAUGAACUAUUAAAUAUUAUUAUGCAUGUGCUUAUCGUGUGUUUUUUUCAGAAAGUUCAGUUUAAUAUUGAUAAAAUAAAACGUAUUUUAUUAAGGAUGUUUUAACCCUUUAAUUUAUGAACAGUUGUUAUAGAUAAGCAUUACUGCAUAUUAUAAACUUUAGUUUUCCGCGAUUACAUUUUUAUUCCGAAUUAUUAUAUAAGUGUCGAC